UCAAGUCAUCUAUAUAAAAAAUACACUCACACUCAUCUCAUUGCAAGGUAAUUGACUCCAAGCUAUCACACAUACAUACAAUCUCUCCAUUUCCCUCUCUACACCUAGAGAGGCUUCACCUUCUUUUUCCACUCCUAACUUCCACGCCAGAGGGGUUUUUCGACCAACUCCGAUUGGGCAGCUCUUACGGUUCUUUCCCUUUUGCAAGCCCCUCAGUUCCUAAAUAGUCAGUCAUAGAGACCCAACUCAUUCAUCUAGUGUCGAAACCAACACAUACAACAAUUAUGGUGAUGGUUCCUGUUCCACGAAGUCGAGAAAUGGGUAUUGUCCCAUUCCUCCAUAGUUUGAUUUCCCAGUGGCAUUUUCUUACACUUCGUUUGGAUGGAGGGGUUUGGUGAGAAAAGACAAGAAAUGGUGCGUCAAUAAUUUGCAUAUAUCUCCAUCUUGCUGUCAUUGCUGUGAAGAAGUUGGUUCGCAUUCUGCUACAGAGGUUAGUUGUCAGUCUAAUGGCAACAGUGGUAACAUUCCUCAGCCUUGCAAUAUUGGGGGGUCUUCGUACCAGGGAAACAAUUACACUGAUGUGUCAGGCCUUCAUUUGUGGGUGGAUGUAUGUAUGUCAAUGAAAAUGGGCAAAUGUGUGGCCCUUACAUUGAGUAGCAGUUGUUUGAGGGUUUAUCCACUGUUUUCUUGCCUAAUGAGCUUCCUGUAUAUCCCAUUACAAACGAGACUUUGAUGAACCCCGUACCAGUUUCCCGACCAUGUUAAACUGGCUUUGCAUAUUUAACUGCGGGUAUCUCUGGGACAAUUGGGCCCACAGAUUGCUUUGCAUAUUCAAUUAGAGAUUUAGCCACAAACAAACCACUAUUUGCUGCUCGGACAAGUGCUUAUCCUGAUUGUCAGUCAGCAAUCCAACCAUGCCUCAACUUCAGCAGUUUUAGCACCAACCAACAAAUGCCAACCUUCACCUCAGCUACUUCACCUACAUCAUAUCCACCACAGUUGGAUGACAAAUGGUCUUGCUUCUUUGAGGAUGAUGACGGCAAGAAACAUGGACCAUACUCUCUCAUGAAGCUCUAUUAUUGGCAUCACUAUGGUUAUCUUUGCAAUUCAUUAAUGGUAAGUUAUAAGACUGAGACAACGUGAUGAUGAUCGUAUGCGGAGUUUAAUUUGUGGAUAUGGCGUGAUCUUGCUCAUGGUCAGCAAGUUAUAUUGUAUUGGUAGAAUUGUGCCACAACAGUUGAUAU
Molecule: long non-coding RNA, 1244 nt
Organism: Camellia sinensis
Lineage: Eukaryota; Viridiplantae; Streptophyta; Magnoliopsida; Ericales; Theaceae
Source: RefSeq, a predicted model, not a curated record